Molecule: ribosomal RNA, 253 nt
Filed under: uncultured bacterium
Lineage: Bacteria
Description: partial 16S ribosomal RNA
Rfam family: Bacterial small subunit ribosomal RNA
Source: RNAcentral
GACGAACCGUCCGAACGUUAUUCGGUAUCACUGGGCUUAAAGAGUUCGUAGGCGGCCAAGUCGGUCAGGUGUGAAAUCCCACAGCUCAACUGUGGAACUGCGCUUGAAACCGUUUGGCUUGAGGGAGAUAGAGGUGAGCGGAACAGAUGGUGGAGCGGUGAAAUGCGUUGAUAUCAUCUGGAACACCGGUGGCGAAAGCGGCUCACUGGAUCUUUUCUGACGCUGAGGAACGAAAGCUAGGGUAGCGAACGGG